This 636-nucleotide small RNA is filed under the name Pan troglodytes (chimpanzee). RNAcentral's name for it is "retained intron". The record is from RNAcentral. Lineage: Eukaryota; Metazoa; Chordata; Mammalia; Primates; Hominidae.
AAGCAAAAAUAUGAACCUCUUGGACUAGAUGCUGCAGGAAUCGAAGAAGCUAUAACUGCUGUGGGUUCUUUUAUACUCAAGGCAAAUGAACUUCUUCAAGUUAUAGAUAGUAGUAUGAAAAACUUCAAAGCAUUUUUUCGGUGGCUUUAUGUGGCAAUGUUGAGAAUGACAGAAGACCAUGUGCUUCCCGAGCUGAAUAAGAUGACUCAGAAAGAUAUCACAUUUGUUGCUGAAUUUCUUACUGAACAUUUCAAUGAGGCUCCAGACCUUUAUAAUCGAAAAGGAAAAUACUUUAACGUUGAAAGAGUUGGUCAGUACUUGAAAGAUGAAGAUGAUGAUCUUGUGUCACCCCCUAACACAGAAGGAAAUCAGUGGUAUGACUUUCUUCAAAAUAGCAGCCACCUUAAAGAAAGUCCUUUGCUGUUUCCUUAUUAUCCUCGAAAAUCAUUGCAUUUUGUGAAAAGGCGGAUGGAGAAUAUUAUUGAUCAGUGUUUGCAAAAGCCAGCAGUAAGUUUGAAAGAAAUGCAUGUCUUUGUGUAGGAGCAAUAGUGUCUACAGUAUGUGGCUCACUUAUGUAAAUGAUCUUAAUUUUUAGAAUGAACUAUGAAAAUGUUGAUAUUCAACUGUUUUUGAUUA